AUUGAACGCUGGCGGCAGGCCUAACACAUGCAAGUCGAGCGAGCGGCGGACGGGUGAGUAAUGUAUGGGGACUGCCCGAUAGAGGGGGAUAACUACUGGAACCGGUAGCUAAUACCGCAUACUAUCGGAUAACCCAUAUGGGAUUAGCUAGUAGGUUAGGUAAUGGCUCCCCUAGGCGACGAUCCCUAGCUGGUCUGAGAGGAGGAUCAGCCACACGGGGACGAAGACACGGCCCAGACUCCGACGGAGGCAGCAGGGGGGAAGAUUGCACAAUGGGCGCAAGCCGGAUGCAGACAUGCCGCGUGUAUGAAGAAGGCCCUAGGGUUGUAAAGUACGUUCAGUCGGGAGGCGUUACCGACAGAAGAAGCACCGGCUAACUCCGUGCCAGGAGCCGCGGUAAUUC
This 403-nucleotide ribosomal RNA is filed under the name uncultured bacterium. RNAcentral's name for it is "partial 16S ribosomal RNA". It matches the Rfam family "Bacterial small subunit ribosomal RNA", at positions 29 to 526 of the family's 1533-position model. The record is from RNAcentral.